RNAcentral lists this ribosomal RNA (119 nucleotides) under Aedes aegypti (yellow fever mosquito). The record is from RNAcentral. Lineage: Eukaryota; Metazoa; Arthropoda; Insecta; Diptera; Culicidae.
GUCAACGAUCAUACCAUGUUGAAAACACCAGUUCUCGUCCGAUCACUGAAGUUAAGCAACAUCGGGCGCGAUUAGUACUUAGAUGGGUGACCGCUUGGGAACUUCGCGUGUCGUUGGCC